GAUGGAGCUGAGACCAGUCGAAGAUACCAGCUGGCUGCAACUGUUUAUUAAAAACACAGCACUGUGCAAACACGAAAGUGGACGUAUACGGUGUGACGCCUGCCCGGUGCCGGAAGGUUAAUUGAUGGGGUUAUCCGUAAGGAGAAGCUCUUGAUCGAAGCCCCGGUAAACGGCGGCCGUAACUAUAACGGUCCUAAGGUAGCGAAAUUCCUUGUCGGGUAAGUUCCGACCUGCACGAAUGGCGUAAUGAUGGCCAGGCUGUCUCCACCCGAGACUCAGUGAAAUUGAACUCGCUGUGAAGAUGCAGUGUACCCGCGGCAAGACGGAAAGACCCCGUGAACCUUUACUAUAGCUUGACACUGAACAUUGAGCCUUGAUGUGUAGGAUAGGUGGGAGGCUUUGAAGCGUGGACGCCAGUCUGCGUGGAGCCAACCUUGAAAUACCACCCUUUAAUGUUUGAUGUUCUAACGUUGGCCCCUUACCGGGGUUGCGGACAGUGUCUGGUGGGUAGUUUGACUGGGGCGGUCUCCUCCCAAAGCGUAACGGAGGAGCACGAAGGUUAGCUAAUCCUGGUCGGACAUCAGGAGGUUAGUGCAAUGGCAUAAGCUAGCUUGACUGCGAGCGUGACGGCGCGAGCAGGUGCGAAAGCAGGUCAUAGUGAUCCGGUGGUUCUGAAUGGAAGGGCCAUCGCUCAACGGAUAAAAGGUACUCCGGGGAUAACAGGCUGAUACCGCCCAAGAGUUCAUAUCGACGGCGGUGUUUGGCACCUCGAUGUCGGCUCAUCACAUCCUGGGGCUGAAGUAGGUCCCAAGGGUAUGGCUGUUCGCCAUUUAAAGUGGUACGCGAGCUGGGUUUAGAACGUCGUGAGACAGUUCGGUCCCUAUCUGCCGUGGGCGCUGGAGAAUUGAGGGGGGCUGCUCCUAGUACGAGAGGACCGGAGUGGACGCAUCACUGGUGUUCGGGUUGUCAUGCCAAUGGCACUGCCCGGUAGCUAAAUGCGGAAGAGAUAAGUGCUGAAAGCAUCUAAGCACGAAACUUGCCCCGAGAUGAGUUCUCCCUGAGACUUUAAGUCUCCUGAAGGAACGUUGAAGACGACGACGUUGAUAGGCCGGGUGUGUAAGCGCAGCGAUGCGUUGAGCUAACCGGUACUAAUGAACCGUGAGGCUUAACCUU
RNAcentral lists this ribosomal RNA (1173 nucleotides) under Klebsiella pneumoniae. RNAcentral describes it as "partial 23S ribosomal RNA". It matches the Rfam family "Bacterial large subunit ribosomal RNA", at positions 1760 to 2925 of the family's 2925-position model. The record is from RNAcentral. Lineage: Bacteria; Pseudomonadati; Pseudomonadota; Gammaproteobacteria; Enterobacterales; Enterobacteriaceae.